GAUGAACGCUAGCUACAGGCUUAACACAUGCAAGUCGAGGGGAAACGAUAGAGAAAGCUUGCUUUUUCUAGGCGUCGACCGGCGCACGGGUGAGUAACGCGUAUCCAACCUGCCCAUCACUUGGGGAUAACCUUGCGAAAGUAAGACUAAUACCCAAUGACGUCUCUAGAAGACAUCUGAAAGAGAUUAAAGAUUUAUCGGUGAUGGAUGGGGAUGCGUCUGAUUAGCUUGUUGGCGGGGUAACGGCCCACCACGGCGACGAUCAGUAGGGGUUCUGAGAGGAAGGUCCCCCGCAUUGGAACUGAGACACGGUCCAAACUCCUACGGGAAGCAGCAGUGAGGAAUAUUGGUCAAUGGACGAGAGUCUGAACCAGCCAAGUAGCGUGCAGGAUGACGGCCCUAUGGGUUGUAAACUGCUUUUAUAAGGGAAUAAAGUGAGUCUCGUGAGACUUUUUGCAUGUACCUUAUGAAUAAGGACCGGCUAAUUCCGUGCCAGCAGCCGCGGUAA
This 508-nucleotide ribosomal RNA is filed under the name uncultured bacterium. RNAcentral describes it as "partial 16S ribosomal RNA". It matches the Rfam family "Bacterial small subunit ribosomal RNA", at positions 28 to 523 of the family's 1533-position model. The record is from RNAcentral.